UUGACACUGAACAUUGAGCCUUGAUGUGUAGGAUAGGUGGGAGGCUUUGAAGCGUGGACGCCAGUCUGCGUGGAGCCGACCUUGAAAUACCACCCUUUAAUGUUUGAUGUUCUAACGUGGACCCGUAAUCCGGGUUGCGGACAGUGUCUGGUGGGUAGUUUGACUGGGGCGGUCUCCUCCUAAAGAGUAACGGAGGAGCACGAAGGUUGGCUAAUCCUGGUCGGACAUCAGGAGGUUAGUGCAAUGGCAUAAGCCAGCUUGACUGCGAGCGUGACGGCGCGAGCAGGUGCGAAAGCAGGUCAUAGUGAUCCGGUGGUUCUGAAUGGAAGGGCCAUCGCUCAACGGAUAAAAGGUACUCCGGGGAUAACAGGCUGAUACCGCCCAAGAGUUCAUAUCGACGGCGGUGUUUGGCACCUCGAUGUCGGCUCAUCACAUCCUGGGGCUGAAGUAGGUCCCAAGGGUAUGGCUGUUCGCCAUUUAAAGUGGUACGCGAGCUGGGUUUAGAACGUCGUGAGACAGUUCGGUCCCUAUCUGCCGUGGGCGCUGGAGAACUGAGGGGGGCUGCUCCUAGUACGAGAGGACCGGAGUGGACGCAUCACUGGUGUUCGGGUUGUCAUGCCAAUGGCACUGCCCGGUAGCUAAAUGCGGAAGAGAUAAGUGCUGAAAGCAUCUAAGCACGAAACUUGCCCCGAGAUGAGUUCUCCCUGAGACUUAGAGUCUCCUGAAGGAACGUUGAAGACGACGACGUUGAUAGGCCGGGUGUGUAAGCGCAGCGAUGCGUUGAGCUAACCGGUACUAAUGAACCGUGAGGCUUAACCUUACAACGCCGAAGCUGUU
Molecule: ribosomal RNA, 837 nt
Filed under: Salmonella enterica
Lineage: Bacteria; Pseudomonadati; Pseudomonadota; Gammaproteobacteria; Enterobacterales; Enterobacteriaceae
Description: partial 23S ribosomal RNA
Rfam family: Bacterial large subunit ribosomal RNA
Source: RNAcentral